This 140-nucleotide microRNA precursor is filed under the name Pelobates cultripes (western spadefoot toad). The record is from RNAcentral. Lineage: Eukaryota; Metazoa; Chordata; Amphibia; Anura; Pelobatidae.
UGAUAAAUAGGGGAGGGGGAGGGGACGGUAGGGGAGGGAGGAAGCAGGGAACAACAAAACAAAACAGGGAAUUUAUAGUUUAAGUUGUCCCUCUUCCCCCUCCCUUCCCUCUCGCCCCCUCCUCCCCCACCCUUCCCUCU